GUGGGGAAUAUUGGACAAUGGGCGCAAGCCUGAUCCAGCCAUGCCGCGUGAGUGAUGAAGGCCCUAGGGUUGUAAAGCUCUUUCAGUGGGGACGAUAAUGACGGUACCCACAGAAGAAGCCCCGGCUAACUUCGUGCCAGCAGCCGCGGUAAUACGAAGGGGGCUAGCGUUGUUCGGAUUUACUGGGCGUAAAGCGCACGUAGGCGGAUCGUUAAGUCGAGGGUGAAAUCCUGGAGCUCAACUCCAGAACUGCCUUCGAUACUGGCGAUCUUGAGUCCGGAAGAGGUGAGUGGAACUCCUAGUGUAGAGGUGGAAUUCGUAGAUAUUAGGAAGAACGCCAGUGGCGAAGGCGGCUCACUGGUCCGGUACUGACGCUGAGGUGCGAAAGCGUGGGGAGCAAACAGGAUUAGAUACCCCGGUAGUCC
RNAcentral lists this ribosomal RNA (425 nucleotides) under uncultured bacterium. RNAcentral's name for it is "partial 16S ribosomal RNA". It matches the Rfam family "Bacterial small subunit ribosomal RNA", at positions 354 to 796 of the family's 1533-position model. The record is from RNAcentral.